UCUAUGGAACACCAUACCGAUUGGGUAAAUGACAUUGUACUCUGUUGUAAUGGGAAAACAUUAAUAUCUGCUUCUUCUGACACGACAGUAAAAGUAUGGAAUGCACAUAAGGGAUUUUGCAUGUCAACAUUAAGAACACAUAAGGAUUAUGUAAAGGCCUUAGCAUAUGCCAAGGAUAAAGAACUGGUAGCAUCAGCUGGUGUUGGACAGACAAAUAUUCUUUGGGAUGUGAAUACUCUAACAGCAUUGACUGCCUCAAACAACACUGUCACAAGUUUGCAUCGAGACAGUGGUUCAUAUUUUGAGAGUGCUUCUACCUACAGCGUUCUAGUCCC
This is a non-coding RNA of Microcebus murinus (gray mouse lemur), 335 nucleotides long. The record is from RefSeq and is a predicted model, not a curated record. NCBI's taxonomy places the organism in Eukaryota, Metazoa, Chordata, Mammalia, Primates, Cheirogaleidae.